RNAcentral lists this ribosomal RNA (253 nucleotides) under uncultured bacterium. RNAcentral's name for it is "partial 16S ribosomal RNA". It matches the Rfam family "Bacterial small subunit ribosomal RNA", at positions 524 to 776 of the family's 1533-position model. The record is from RNAcentral.
UACGUAGGUGGCAAGCGUUGUCCGGAUUUACUGGGCGUAAAGGGCGUGCAGGCGGUCUGUUAAGUUCAGGGUGAAAGCUCCCGGCUCAACUGGGAGAGGUCCUUGGAUACUGGCAGACUUGAGGGAGGUAGAGGAGAGUGGAAUUCCCGGUGUAGUGGUGAUAUGCGUAGAUAUCUGGAGGAACACCGGUGGCGAAGGCGGCAUCCUGGACCAACACUGACACUGAGGAGCGAAAGCCAGGGGAGCAAACGGG